UAAUACAUUAGAAAUUAGGUAGUAACGAUAUAUCUGAAACCUAAAGGACUUGGCGGUAUUUUAAAUAAUUGGAGGAACUUGUUGUUUAAUUGAAAUUCCACAACAUAUCUUCCUCUGCUUUUGUUUGUAUAUCGUUGUUUAAGACAACAUUUUAAAAUGUAGUCAAGAUUAAAAUUUUUCACUAAAUCAAAUCAAGGUGCAGCAUAACAGGGUUACAAUGAGUUACAAUACAUUUCAUGUAAACGGAAAAUUAAAUGAAAAUAAAGGAAAAGGUGGAUUCAAAAGUAAUAAAAAAUUAAGAAGUUUUUAUGAAUGAAAAUUUAAAAUAUGC
RNAcentral lists this ribosomal RNA (331 nucleotides) under Deccanometrus xanthopus. RNAcentral's name for it is "Heterometrus xanthopus partial small subunit ribosomal RNA". The record is from RNAcentral. Lineage: Eukaryota; Metazoa; Arthropoda; Arachnida; Scorpiones; Scorpionidae.